GGCAGGAUACACUAUAGGGCGAAUGAAUUACCGGCCGCGUAUCGCCCUUAGAGUUUGAUCCUGGCUCACGACGAACGCUGACGGCGCGCCUAACACAUGCAAGUCGAACGAGCGAGAGAGAGCUUGCUUUCUCAAGCGAGUGGCGAACGGGUGAGUAACGCGUGAGGAACCUGCCUCAAAGAGGGGGACAACAGUUGGAAACGACUGCUAAUACCGCAUAAGCCCACAGCUCGGCAUCGAGCAGAGGGAAAAGGAGCAAUCCGCUUUGAGAUGGCCUCGCGUCCGAUUAGCUAGUUGGUGAGGUAAUGGCCCACCAAGGCGACGAUCGGUAGCCGGACUGAGAGGUUGAACGGCCACAUUGGGACUGAGACACGGCCCAGACUCCUACGGGAGGCAGCAGUGGGGAAUAUUGCACAAUGGGGGAAACCCUGAUGCAGCGACGCCGCGUGGAGGAAGAAGGUCUUCGGAUUGUAAACUCCUGUUGUUGAGGAAGAUAAUGACGGUACUCAACAAGGAAGUGACGGCUAACUACGUGCCAGCAGCCGCGGUAAAACGUAGGUCACAAGCGUUGUCCGGAAUUACUGGGUGUAAAGGGAGCGCAGGCGGGAAGACAAGUUGGAAGUGAAAUCUAUGGGCUCAACCCAUAAACUGCUUUCAAAACUGUUUUUCUUGAGUAGUGCAGAGGUAGGCGGAAUUCCCGGUGUAGCGGUGGAAUGCGUAGAUAUCGGGAGGAACACCAGUGGCGAAGGCGGCCUACUGGGCACCAACUGACGCUGAGGCUCGAAAGUGUGGGUAGCAAACAGGAUUAGAUACCCUGGUAGUCCACAUCGUAAACGAUGAUUACUAGGUGUUGGAGGAUUGACCCCUUCAGUGCCGCAGUUAACACAAUAAGUAAUCCACCUGGGGAGUACGACCGCAAGGUUGAAACUCAAAGGAAUUGACGGGGCCCGCACAAGCAGUGGAGUAUGUGGUUUAAUUCGACGCAACGCGAAGAACCUUACCAAGUCUUGACAUCCUGCGACGCACAUAGAAAUAUGUGUUUCCUUCGGGACGCAGAGACAGGUGGUGCAUGGUUGUCGUCAGCUCGUGUCGUGAGAUGUUGGGUUAAGUCCCGCAACGAGCGCAACCCUUACUGUCAGUUACUACGCAAGAGGACUCUGGCAGGACUGCCGUUGACAAAACGGAGGAAGGUGGGGAUGACGUCAAAUCAUCAUGCCCUUUAUGACUUGGGCUACACACGUACUACAAUGGCGUUAAACAAAGAGAAGCAGGACCGCGAGGUGGAGCAAAACUCAGAAACAACGUCCCAGUUCGGACUGCAGGCUGCAACUCGCCUGCACGAAGUCGGAAUUGCUAGUAAUCGUGGAUCAGCAUGCCACGGUGAAUACGUUCCCGGGCCCUUGUACACACCGCCCGUC
This 1418-nucleotide ribosomal RNA is filed under the name uncultured bacterium. RNAcentral's name for it is "bacterial SSU rRNA". It matches the Rfam family "Bacterial small subunit ribosomal RNA". The record is from RNAcentral.